UGGUUCCGUAGCUCAGUUGGAUAGAGCAGCAGCCUUCUAAGCUGCGGGUCGCGCGUUCGAACCGCGCCGGAAUCACCC
This 78-nucleotide transfer RNA is filed under the name Alistipes finegoldii. RNAcentral describes it as "tRNA-Arg(tct)". It matches the Rfam family "tRNA". From Rfam's summary of the family: Transfer RNA (tRNA) molecules are approximately 80 nucleotides in length. Their secondary structure includes four short double-helical elements and three loops (D, anti-codon, and T loops). The record is from RNAcentral. RNAcentral also lists the same sequence under 2 other names. Lineage: Bacteria; Pseudomonadati; Bacteroidota; Bacteroidia; Bacteroidales; Rikenellaceae.